AUUUAUAUAGCUUAUAUUUAAAGUGAAGCGUUGAAGGUGCUUAGAAAGUAAGAUGAACUUGUAAAUA
Molecule: transfer RNA, 67 nt
Filed under: Trigoniophthalmus alternatus
Lineage: Eukaryota; Metazoa; Arthropoda; Insecta; Archaeognatha; Machilidae
Description: tRNA-Phe
Source: RNAcentral